Non-coding RNA from Neisseria gonorrhoeae FA 1090, 115 nucleotides. The record is from Rfam. NCBI's taxonomy places the organism in Bacteria, Pseudomonadati, Pseudomonadota, Betaproteobacteria, Neisseriales, Neisseriaceae.
UGGCAAACUUGUCCGAAUCCCAUUUGGGGUUCUUUUUAUUUUUCGGAGUUUUUCCAUUAUGGCACUGACCGUAGAACAAAAAGCACAAAUCGUUAAAGAUUUCCAACGUAAAGAA